AUUUCGUCCGCGUUCAGAAGCCUUGACAUUUAUUUAACACCUUCAUCCCCAGUGCCACUCUUUCCAUCGGUAGCCUACCUACUUACUUUCUUCGCACACACGCACACAGAUGAGAGUGGAGAGCACAACCACAUUGCUGGAGGAUCUGGUAGAGAAGGCCGGCGGCUCUGCCGUCAUCGAUGGUGGUUUUGCCACCCAGCUCGAGAGACACGGCGCCGCCAUUAACAACCCUCUUUGGAGCGCUCUUUGUUUGAUCGAAGAUCCAGACCUGAUCAAAAGGGUGUCUCUCUUUGCCUCUGCUAUUUAUAUACAUUAUAUUGAAAGCUCUGUUUUUGUGGGUUUUUGAAAUUAUUUUCAAAUUUUGAUUUUGUUAAGGAUAUUGUACAGGUUCACUUGGAAUAUUUGGAGGCUGGUGCAGACGUUUUGAUCACUUCUUCUUACCAGGUUUUGUGUCUUUGCAAAGUUAAGAUAAAGUUCGAUUUUUUAUGUGCUCAAUUUAUGCCCUGUUUCUAUUCUACAACAUAAGCUUUCAAUUUUUGUUUUAAAAAGGUCAACGCCUAAUAUAAGAAACAUGGUUAGAUUGCGAUAUCAAUAUAAUGCAUAAUCAUGAGUGAUUGGAUUUGGAGUUGCUUGGACCUUUGGAGAAAUAGAAAAAUGAUGAGAUACAGAAGCAGAAGGGCUGGUCAUUUAACUGAUAGUGCUGUCAUAAAUGCUGUAAUAUAGACUUGGGUUUGUUGGGGGUUGUAUGAUGUGGUUUUAGUUUCAUCUUACAUGUUCAGGCUACUCUUCCUGGAUUUGCAUCCCAGGGAUUGUCCAUUGAAGAAGGAGAGUUCUUACUAAAGAAGAGCGUUAAAUUGGCUGUUGAAGCCCGUGAUAAGUUCUGGGAUGCAGUGAAAAGUAAUCCUGUACAUAGAUAUAACCGAGCUUUGGUUGCAGCCUCCAUUGGAAGCUAUGGAGCUUAUCUUGCUGAUGGAUCAGAGUACAGUGGACUGUAUGGGCCAGACGUGAAUCUGGAAAAGCUCAAGGAUUUUCAUCGACACAGAUUGCAAGUUCUUGUGGAAGCAGGUCCUGAUCUAUUGGCCUUUGAGACAAUUCCCAAUAAACUAGAAGCAAAGGCAUGUUCUUCUCCCAUUUCUACUUCAUAGGGUGUCUCAUUCUUAUGGCAAGUUGAUGAAAUUGAGGAAAAGUUAGCUGAUUGAAGCCUUAGGAGUGAACAAGAUGGGAGGUAAUUCAAAAUUGGUCUGAAAGCUAUUGAUUAAAUAUACAAUAAACAAAAAAGGGGCUGAAAGUUGUAAAAGUUCAUACGAUUUGAAGGCUGUUGAUUAAAUAUAAAAGUUUCCUUCUUAUAGAUUAGAAUCACACACAGAUUUUAUAAUGUUUACAAUGUUGGUUUGCAGAGUGCUAGUAUUGUUAUUUGCUACAGUAACAAAGGGUACAGUUUUUCUUGAGCCUAGUCUAGAAGUGCUAUAAAAUUUAUACAUUUAACGUGCCCUGCACAACGCAACUUGUUACCUGAAAAAGAAAAUAUUGCUAUGUGGCCAAUAGCUCAUAUUGAACAACUUCUUUAUUUUUUUUUGUUUAUUGGGGUAGGUGCUUACAGUAGCUACAGAAGAUCAUUGAGAACAAAUCUUUUAUAGACUGUAGAAAGAGUUACGUUAGAUAAAUGAAUGUGCAUAAUUUGGUGAAUGGUGUAAAGCACUUCAGGCAUUAAAUGUGUCAAAUCCUGUAUUUUUUGUUUUCAAUCAGAGGGAGAGUCAAAAGUAAAUGUUUGAAUGACAUACCAACUAAAUGAAAAGAUUUUCGUUGAUGAUAUGCAUGGUUGUUGAACUCUUUUUUUCAUUAAUAAGAUUUUUUAUUGGUAAUAUGUAUAAAACUAUUGCAAUUCUAACCUCUUUCUUAUUCUUUCAUUUUGUAUUGCCUAUUAAUGACAUCUGAAUAACAAUUUGCAGGCCUGUGUUGAGUUGCUUGAAGAAGAAAACAUCAACAUUCCAUCCUGGAUUUGCUUCAGCACAGUGGACGGUGAGAAUGCACCAUCUGGGGAGAGUUUUCAAGAGUGCCUUGAAAUGAUAAACAAGAGCAACAAAGUAAAUGCAGUUGGAAUUAACUGUGCCCCUCCCCAUUUUAUUGAAAGUCUCAUAUGCAAAUUUAAGAAGUUGACUGAGAAGUUGAUAAUUGUGUAUCCCAACAGCGGUGAGGUUUGGGAUUGCAGAGCUAAAAGAUGGCUGCCAUCAACUUGUUUUGCUGAUGACAAAUUUGAGAUGUCUGCAACACGAUGGCAUGAGUUAGGAGCUAGCCUUAUUGGAGGCUGCUGUCGAACCACACCUUCUACCAUUCGAGCCAUUUCAAAGGUUUUGAAAGAAAGAGAGUGAGCUGGACAGGCUUUGAAUUCAAUGGCUUCAGGAAAAGCUACACCACCGUUUAUAUAUUUCAUCUUGUAAUUCUCAUUUAUUAGCUUGUAGGUGAAUAGUUUUGGAAUUUUGGAUUUUGCAAAAUGAGUUGCAUAUCCAACCUUUCUUUCGCCGCUAGGCAGAAAGGAAUUUUGCAUUUUCUAUUUUACCUUAUAAAAGUUAAUUUAUCACAAGCUCUUUACCAUUGAAAUUUAGUAAUUUAGUUCAUCAGCGAGAGGGUGGUAAAGACAAUUCCAAUAACUCCAAAUUCCUGUGUCAUUUAGUGGCCCUUUUUCAACCUAUUCUGCCAAUAAUCUAAUGCUAAAUUGCC
Molecule: unclassified non-coding RNA, 2718 nt
Filed under: Hevea brasiliensis (rubber tree)
Lineage: Eukaryota; Viridiplantae; Streptophyta; Magnoliopsida; Malpighiales; Euphorbiaceae
Source: RNAcentral